ACCUGGCUGGCUCAGUCAGUAGAGCAUGUGGCUCUUUAUUGCAAGGUUGUGAGUUCAAGCCCAUGUUAGGUG
This 72-nucleotide transfer RNA is filed under the name Felis catus (domestic cat). It matches the Rfam family "tRNA". From Rfam's summary of the family: Transfer RNA (tRNA) molecules are approximately 80 nucleotides in length. Their secondary structure includes four short double-helical elements and three loops (D, anti-codon, and T loops). Further hydrogen bonds mediate the characteristic L-shaped molecular structure. tRNAs have two regions of fundamental functional importance: the anti-codon, which is responsible for specific mRNA codon recognition, and the 3' end, to which the tRNAs corresponding amino acid is attached (by aminoacyl-tRNA synthetases). tRNAs cope with the degeneracy of the genetic code in two manners: having more than one tRNA (with a specific anti-codon) for a particular amino acid; and 'wobble' base-pairing, i.e. permitting non-standard base-pairing at the 3rd anti-codon position. The record is from Rfam by way of RNAcentral. Lineage: Eukaryota; Metazoa; Chordata; Mammalia; Carnivora; Felidae.